RNAcentral lists this ribosomal RNA (252 nucleotides) under uncultured bacterium. RNAcentral describes it as "partial 16S ribosomal RNA". It matches the Rfam family "Bacterial small subunit ribosomal RNA", at positions 524 to 776 of the family's 1533-position model. The record is from RNAcentral.
UACGUAGGCAGCGAGCGUUGUUCGGAGUUACUGGGCGUAAAGCGCACGUAGGCGGAUUGUUAAGUCGGGGGUGAAAUCCUGGAGCUCAACUCCAGAACUGCCUUCGAAACUGGCGAUCUUGAGUCCGGGAGAGGUGAGUGGAACUGCGAGUGUAGAGGUGAAAUUCGUAGAUAUUCGCAAGAACACCAGUGGCGAAGGCGGCUCACUGGCCCGGUACUGACGCUGAGGUGCGAAAGCGUGGGAGCAAACAGG